ACUUGUGCAGGUGACGUUUCGGGAGCUGUGGCUCAGAUGCUCCCAUCCCAGACCUCAAGUCAGCACCAUGGACCUUUAAAUCCCUGCAGGUUGUGUGAAGACCACUGUCUUUGCAGAAUGAAAGAGCAUGGCAAGGAGCAGUCUUCAUGGAUGUUAACCUUGGUCUUUCUCUCCCUCUUCUCCUCACCAGGUGUAUCAUACCUUGUUCUGGCCACUUGAAUGGAUGGUGGCCAGCAGAGACAGCAACACUUGCUAUGCAAAGAUCAUCUGCACCAUGCUCGACAGUGAUCGUGUGUUAGGAUUUCAUGUUCUUGGACCGAAUGCUGGUGAGAUCACCCAGGGGUUUGCAGCUUCCAUGAAGUGUGGGCUCACAAAACAGCUGCUUGAUGACACUAUUGGAAUCCACCCUACAUGUGGAGAGGUGUUCACAACCCUGGAAAUCACCAAGUCAUCGGGACUGGACAUUACCCAGAAGGGCUGCUGAGGCUAGCAUGUUGAUGCCGUGUUUCCUUGGACACUUCUCAUUUCUUCCCAAGAAAGGGGGUGGAGAUGAGAUGGUGACAGGAACACAGCAGCAGCAGGCAGCUGCAGGGACUCUGGCUGACGAGGCAGCAGGUAGACUGCGUCCUUGACACUCUGGCUCAGAACCCUAGUGGGGAGCCUGGGCCAACUCCAGCGCAUCAGACCUGAGCAUCCCACGGAGACCCCAGAUGGCACUGGUAGCCCAAGUGACCCUUCCUGGUGCCUGGUGUUUUUAUGCCCUCACUUUGUUUUCUGUGAGGAUAUUUUUUCUAUGAAGCUGACUACAAAGGCGAUUUCCAGCAUGGGCCUGGCACACAUGCUUAGGGCAGAGGUGUCUGGGGCUGGGCACCUGUGUGGCUUUGAGCACAGGGUUCGAGCACUAGCAGGAGAAUGUGCCCACAGCAUGGGUUUCAGCCAACUGCUCUGUCCUCUAAGGUACAUCUCAACCUAGUGCCAAAAUCCUGGCUUCGGCGUCGGCAUUCCAUGGUGAUAACCCUGGGCACACUCUCCUCACACAACUCCAGGCCGACGGAACAUCAAACAGGAGAGAAAAUACUUGAAUCCCUUUUUCAUGUUGAUCUUAAAAAUAAUAUUAAAAUGUUUUCAGUAUUGUUUUAUGUGAAAUAUAAUUUCAAACUGUUAGAAAUGA
Heterocephalus glaber (naked mole-rat) is the source of this 1171-nucleotide non-coding RNA. NCBI's taxonomy places the organism in Eukaryota, Metazoa, Chordata, Mammalia, Rodentia, Bathyergidae. The record is from RefSeq and is a predicted model, not a curated record.